AACACGUACGCAACCUUCCUUUAACUGGAGGAUAGCCCCUCCGAAAGAGGGAUUAAUACUCCGUAACAUAAUGAUAAGGCAUCUUAUUAUUAUAGCUCCGGCGGUUAAAGAUGGGCGUGCGACUGAUUAGAUAGUUGGCGGGGUAACGGCCCACCAAGUCUGCGAUCAGUAACUGGUGUGAGAGCACGACCAGUCACACGGGCACUGAGACACGGGCCCG
RNAcentral lists this ribosomal RNA (220 nucleotides) under uncultured bacterium. RNAcentral describes it as "partial 16S ribosomal RNA". It matches the Rfam family "Bacterial small subunit ribosomal RNA", at positions 112 to 334 of the family's 1533-position model. The record is from RNAcentral.